This 492-nucleotide ribosomal RNA is filed under the name uncultured bacterium. RNAcentral describes it as "partial 16S ribosomal RNA". It matches the Rfam family "Bacterial small subunit ribosomal RNA", at positions 29 to 507 of the family's 1533-position model. The record is from RNAcentral.
AGUGAACGCUGGCGGUAGGCCUAACACAUGCAAGUCGAACGGCAGCACAGUAAGAGCUUGCUCUUACGGGUGGCGAGUGGCGGACGGGUGAGGAAUACAUCGGAAUCUACUUUUUCGUGGGGGAUAACGUAGGGAAACUUACGCUAAUACCGCAUACGACCUACGGGUGAAAGCAGGGGAUCUUCGGACCUUGCGGGAUUGAAUGAGCCGAUGUCGGAUUAGCUAGUUGGCGGGGUAAAGGCCCACCAAGGCGACGAUCCGUAGCUGGUCUGGGAGGAUGAUCAGCCACACUGGAACUGAGACACGGUCCAGACUCCUACGGGAGGCAGCAGUGGGGAAUAUUGGACAAUGGGCGCAAGCCUGAUCCAGCCAUACCGCGUGGGUGAAGAAGGCCUUCGGGUUGUAAAGCCCUUUUGUUGGGAAAGAAAAGCAGCAGGUUAAUACCCCGCUGUUCUGACGGUACCCAAAGAAUAAGCACCGGCUAACUUCGUG